CCCUUAGAUGUUCUGGGCCGCACGCGCGCUACACUGAUGCAUUCAACGAGUCUAAAACCUGCUCUGAUAGGGGUGGGUAAUCUUUUGAAUGUGCAUCGUGAUUGGGAUAGAUGAUUGCAAUUUUUCAUCUUCAACGAGGAAUGCCUAGUAAACGCAAGUCAUCAGCUUGCAUUGAUUACGUCCCUGCCCUUUGUACACACCGCCCGUCGCUCCUACCGAUUGAAUGAUCCGAUGAAUAUCAUGGAUUGAGGAUGUAAGCAGGUUCGCCUGUCUUCAUCUUCGAGAAGUGAAGUAAAUCUUACCAUUUAGAGGAAGGAGAAGUCGUAACA
Molecule: ribosomal RNA, 329 nt
Filed under: uncultured eukaryote
Lineage: Eukaryota
Description: partial 18S ribosomal RNA
Rfam family: Eukaryotic small subunit ribosomal RNA
Source: RNAcentral